RNAcentral lists this transfer RNA (87 nucleotides) under Bacteroidota bacterium. Its description in RNAcentral is "tRNA-Ser". It matches the Rfam family "tRNA". Rfam says of the family: Transfer RNA (tRNA) molecules are approximately 80 nucleotides in length. The record is from RNAcentral. RNAcentral also lists the same sequence under 1 other name. Lineage: Bacteria; Pseudomonadati; Bacteroidota.
GGAGGAAUGGCGGAGUGGACGAACGCGGCGGUCUUGAAAACCGUUGACACCUUGCGGUGUCCGGGGGUUCGAAUCCCUCUUCCUCCG